GAUGAAGAACGUAGCGAAAUGCGAUAAGUAAUGUGAAUUGCAGAAUUCAGUGAAUCAUCGAAUCUUUGAACGCACAUUGCGCCCGCCAGUAAUCUGGCGGGCAUGCCUGUUCGAGCGUCAUUACAACCCUCAGGCCCCCGGGCCUGGCGUUGGGGAUCGGCGGAGCCCCCCGUGGGCACACGCCGUCCCCCAAAUGCAGUGGCGGUCCCGCCGCAGCUUCCAUCGCGUAGUAGCUAACACCUCGCGACUGGAGAGCGGCGCGGCCACGCCGUAAAACACCCAACUCUUCUGAAGUUGACCUCGAAUCAGGUAGGAAUACCCGCUGAACUUAAGCAUAUCAAUAAGCGGAGGA
RNAcentral lists this unclassified non-coding RNA (352 nucleotides) under soil metagenome. Its description in RNAcentral is "partial contains 5.8S ribosomal RNA, internal transcribed spacer 2, and large subunit ribosomal RNA". The stretch from base 1 to 120 matches the Rfam family "5.8S ribosomal RNA", at positions 35 to 154 of the family's 154-position model. The record is from RNAcentral.